Molecule: long non-coding RNA, 21684 nt
Organism: Alligator mississippiensis (American alligator)
Lineage: Eukaryota; Metazoa; Chordata; Crocodylia; Alligatoridae
Exons: 3
Source: RefSeq, a predicted model, not a curated record
CUGCACAGCUGAGGCAGAGCACUGGAUGGAGCUGUGAGUGGCUCAUCUGGGAGGCCCGGGGGAGGGUGGCUCCUGCCACUGUGUCGGAAGGGACCUGUAAGGGAUCUUACAGGUCCCUUCCGGAAUUGUAGAACCAGAAGGGACCUGUAAGAUCAUCAAGUUUGGUCCCCUGCUGUGGGCAGGAAGUUAUUGGGCUCAGACAUGCUCAACAAGGUGCCUGUCUAGCCUCCUCUUGAACACCUCCAACGAUGGUGACUUGCACCACCUCCGCUGGGAGUGUGUUCCAGAUUCUGGUGACCCUUACAUAGAAUAAGUUAUUCCUUAUAUCUAGCCUGAAUUUACCCUCUGUAAGCUUAUGUCCAUUGCUCCUCGUCCUCCCUUGAGAGGUCUUCCUGAAGAGUUGCUCACCUAAACCUUGGUGUUCACCCCAGUGUAUUUGUAGAUGGUUAUCAAGUCACCUCUCAGCCAACUCUUACUCAAAUGAGUCUCUCCUCGUAGGGCCUAUCCUCAAUGCUCUUGACGAUACGGGUAGCUCUUCUUUGUACCUUCUCAAGCUCAUCCAUGUCCUUCUUGAAGUGUGCCCAGAACUGGACACAGUACUCCAACUGAGGCCUCACUAGUGUUGAAUAGAGAAGGAGAAGCACUUCCCUGGAUCUAUUGGACAUACAUCAGCUGAUGCACACCAGAGUUAUACUUGCUUUCCUGGUGACCCUAUCACACUGCUGGCUCACAUUCAUCUUCUGGUCAAUUGUAACCCCCAGGUCUCGCUCAGAUGCUGCACCAGCCACCACCCAUUGUAUAGUUGUGGUGAUGGUUCUUUCUACCCAAACGAAGGACUUUGCACAUAUCCCUAUUUAACCUCAUCUGAUUUUGUUUUGCCCACGAGUCCAGCCUGUUAAGGUGAUCCUGGAUCUUGACCCUACCCUCCCGCGUGCCCGCAUUUCCCUACAGCUUGAUGUCAUCCGCAAGCUUAAUAAUUGAGCUUUCCACCCCCUCAUCCAAGUCGUUAAUGAAUAUAUUAAAGAGUAUGGGUCCAAGCACUGAUCCCUUGGGGGCACCACUGGAGACGGCCUUAUGGGAUGAGGCCAUCCCAUCAAUUACCACCCUCUGGAAGCAGCCUCUAAGACAAUUGCCAAUUGUGUGUGCCCCCCAGAUCUGCGCAUGGGGUGAGGGUGGGCUGCUGCUGCAGGCUGGGAGAUCUUUCCAGCGGGGGGCUGGGAUGGGACUGUGAUUGGAGCAAGCAUCAGUGGUGCUGGGUGGGAGCUACAGCCACUCCAAAAUUCCUUAUAGCCCCCCUCCCAGUGCCAGUGCCACUGCCACCGCCCUGAGCACAGCCCAGCCCAGCCCAGCCCAGCCCAGCUCCCCACCAGGAAGAGCCCAGCACUCCCUGGCCCCAGGCUGCAUCAGCCUGCUCUCACCCCACAUGCAGAUCCUGGGGUCCAUGCAGUGGCAGGAACUGCCACCACCUCCCCGCACCUCCUGGAUGAGCUGCAGCCCCAUCCCGCACCCUGCCUCAGUCCCUCCCUCCCUCAUCGUGGGGGCCUCAGUCUGCCUCCCCUCCCCCCCACACACACCCCUUCCCUCACAACAGACUUACCAGCUGGACCCAGCCACUUUCCACACUGCUGGGCUGCGUUGCUGGCCACCUGAAUGCUGCGCAGAUGCACAGGGCUUUUAUCAGCAACACUAUCAGCCACAUCAGCCAAAAAUAGCCAAUUGCUAAUACUGUCAAUUUUCCUUUUAUCUGUGCUGAUCUGUUAUGGGGCCAAAGUAUUAGUGCACCUCUACUAAUUUUCAGUAAUAUGUCUCUAUUUCUAUGUUAUAUAUAAUUCAAGUUUGAUUUUCAAGUCUGUAAAGAUCCCCUGGUGCUGCCAUAUUGAUCAUUUAUUAUACUUCCUAUCGUCUCUCUGUAUCAGGAUCAUCACCACUGUACCUUUAAUACUGUGUCUUCUAGUAGCUGCAAGGUCUCCAGAUAACUUUUUUGCUAUUGAAAUUCCUUCCAAUGUGACCUUACCUGCUAAUUCCCAGGUUGAAGUCUGGACCUUAGACACCUCAUUAAUGACCUCCAACCCCAUCUGUGUCAAGGUAGCAAUGGAGGACAGACCUGUCCUGGUUUGCAGACAACCCCCCAACCUCAAAAGAUGUCUCCCAAGCAACACACUAUCUAACUCCUAUUCUAACCAAGGCAACAGACCUACAUGCAACGUUGUGCCCCUUCAUCAAUACAAACCACAACAUCACUUGACAAAAUAGUAUGGAUUAUAAAAUCUGAGGUCUUUUCACCUGCACCUUUACCAACAUCAAGUAUACCAUCGGCUACUUACAGUGCCCCUCUGUUGUUUACAUUGGACAGGCAAAGCAAUCCCUGCAUGUAAGAAUGAAUGGACACCAAUCUGACAUCAGUUCCAGAAAGACAUGCAAACUUGUGGCAGACCACUUUAACCUCCCUGGACAUUCCAUCACUGACCUCAGAGCAGCUGUUCUUGGACAGCAAAACUUUUAAAAAUUAAUUUGGAAUAUUUAAAUUGCAAAACAAAAAAUCAUCCGCAGACUGGAUUGUGUUAAGUAUGGUCUAAACUGGAAGAACAGAUGCUUAUUCCAUUACAUGGAUUAACAUUUGUCACCCUUUAUCCCUAAGAAUUUAUUACUUUCCUAUUCUUGGCACAGCUCCCUCUCCUUUCCCUCCCUUUCCUGUUAUAUUCAAAUCACUCUAUUUGAUACACUUGUAUGUGUAUGGCUUCACAAAAUCUAAUUAAAUGAGCUCAGGUUCUCAAAAGUUCAUACUAUGCAUCUCUCAUUUAGUUUGUCUAUAAUGUGCAAAACUACCCUUUUAAAGUCCACUGCCAUUAUUCUGUUGCUUUCAUUACUUCCUUUCCUUAGCAUCCCAAUUGCUUUUGCCUAGAUUACCUUUUGUCUUCACAUUUUUAACCAAAUUCUCCCUAAAAAUGAGAUCCAGUUUGAAAAUAGUUUUAUUUCCUCAAUCUUCUAAAACAAAAAAAAAUUCUUAAUCACUCUUAGGCAUAUUGCCAUGUGCUAUUUUGUUUCGUGGUUGCAUUCUUCCAUUACCAUUAGGUUCUGUUCUUUGGGUACUUUCCUUAAUUUGUCAAAAAAUGCCUCCAGCACCUCUUCCUGAUUGGUUUAGUCUCUUAAUAGACCCUACUGUAAUUUCAGUCCUGUACAGUUGCCUUUUAUCUUCACCAUCACCUCUAUUUGGACUUAAGUACAAAUGCAUAUCUAUUACCCAAAGAACCUUGUCUGCCUAUCUAUUACUGAAAUAUAAUACACCAUAUAGUGUAUGUUUCUUGCCUGUCCUUUCUGAAAAAUCUGUUCCUUUUUAUACCUAUGAUUCCUAUCAAAUCUUUGAGAUGCCAAGUCAGUCACAGUUUUAGCUGGUAAAUAAAACUAGGUUCCUUCUAGUUAUUCCUCAUACUCUACUAUUUGUGCAUAGACAUCUUAAAUGUUAGGCAGUUUACCCCAUUUUUGCUUCUUGAAUCUCUUGUCAUCCUUUUGCAACUUCCUGUUCUCUCUCCAGAUCUCGGGCUUUGACCAAAUCUUUAUUUUUUCCCCAUCUGUAGGCUGUGUCAGUAUCCUUCAACCUAAUUUAAAAUUUUCCCUGCCAAGUUGAUGCAUCAGUGUUCCAGGAUACUUUUCCUUUCUUUGUCAGGUAAACUCACUUUCUUCCCAGCAGUCUUACUGUGGAGAACACCAUAGAAUGGUCAAGGAAACCAAAGCCUUCCUCUCAGCACCCUUCUGGCAGCCAAACAGUCAUUUCUAAAAUGUCUCUCUCCUGUAAUGACUUCAAUUACCCAAGUUUGAUUAAACCAUACUUUUCAUUCUUGACCUAAUAACUCCAAGAAAAUCAUCACUUGGUUUGGUAGAUUAUUCCAAAAGUCAAUUCCCACUGACAUUAAAAAUGUUGUUAUAUUUCUAACAUGCAUUUGUCUGAUUAACUUCCAAACAUGAAUUCUUCUUAGUUUUUUCUCUUCUAGCAUAAAGAGGUUGCUCAUACCAAAUAUUUUCUUUGCAAGAAAGUACUUCUACACUGUGAUCAGUUUACCCCUCAUUCUUCUUUUUCAUAAACUGAAUGAAGUAAGCUCUUGAAGUCACUGCAAGGUUUUUUUUCAGCCUGUUGAGUAUUUGUGACCUUGUUAGAUAUUUGAACGGUCUGUGUGUUCAUAAGAGUCUACAUUUGAACUUCUGUUUAUUAAAUCUGCUAAUGGCAGCUAACUAAUGGCAGGGAUGAAGUCAGGAAGGCCAAAGCACAACAGAAAUUGCAGCUAGCAAGGAACACGAAGGGUAACAAGAAGGGUUUCUACAAGAAUGUCAGCAACAAGAGGAGGAUCAGAGAAGCUGUGGGCCUUUUACUGAAUGGGGAAGCCAGCUGAAUGACAGAGAAUGCAGAAAAGGCUGAAGUACUCAAUGGCCUUUUCACCUCAGUCUUCACAGGCAAAGUCAGCUUCCAGACUCCUGCACCUGGCAGCAGUUUGGGGAGGAGGUAAGCAGUCAACAGUGGCAAAAGAACAGGUUAAGGACUAUUUAGAAAAGCUGGACCUGUACAAGUCCUUGGGGUCAGAUGGGAACCAAGGGUGCUGAGGAGUUGGUUGAUGUGAUUGCAGAGCUGCUGGCCAUCAUCUUUGAAAACUGGUGACUGAGAGAGUUCCUGGGUGAUGGGAAAAGGGCAAAUAUAGGAGGAUCCAGGAAACUCCAGACUGGUCAGCUUCACAUCAGUCCCUGGAAAAAUCAUGGAGUGGAUCCUCAAGGAAUCUAUCUCUAAGCACAUGGAGGAGAAAAGGUGAUUGAGAACAGACAGAAUGGAUUUGAUAAGGGCAGGUCAUGCUUGACCAACCUGAUUGCCUUCUAUGAUGAGAUGACUAGAUCCAUGGAUGCAGGAAGAGCAAUGGACUUGACUAUAGCGAGGCUUUUGAUAUGGUCUCCCACAACAUUCUCACAAGCAAGCUAAGGAAGUAUGGGUUGAAUUAAUGGAUAGAAAACUGACUGGAUCAUUGGGCUCAGGGGGUCCCUUCCAACCCUAAUUAUCUAUGAUUCUAACUCAUAGUUUUAUUUUGUCUACAAUAUAUUCUGUGCUGUUGAGCAUGGCAGCAGUCUUACCUGUGACUUGAAUCUAAUUAUGUCUGGCUAUGCUCGGAUACUCUACACCCUCUGCAAUUUUUAAAAUAUAUAUAGUAGGCUUAGAUAGUGGUCUAAUAGUAGUGUUAUUAAUGUUAUAUCAUAGUUAAAUCACCUAUUUUACUUCUAAUCAAUGUUCUUUUUAUUUACAUAUCCAAGGGCCACCCUAUCCUCUCUUUUUGCCACAGAUUCCAUUCAGCUUUAUUAUCAUGGCUCAGGGCUCUGUAUGAAUCUGACUGAGAUGCACAAGGCAAAAUUUGACCCCCUGUAGCCAUUUAUCAAUUAAUUAAGAGUCCCAGGUACUCAAAGAUAUCUAGGAGUUUACUUCUGUGGACAUUAGGGACCUAAAUAGCUUUAAGGAUUUGGAUCACAGGCUUUUGAUUGUUUUUCAUACUGUUCUGUAGAUUUCAAAAUGGUCAGUCCAUUUCUUUUUGUACUCAAAAGAUUUUUUUUUUUAUUGUUGGCAAAGAUUUAAUGACUACUCUAGGUUGCAACAAUUAACUAUUGGACCCUGGACAUUUUAUUAAUUAUGAGAUUAGAACAUAUCCAUUUAUAACUGAACAAACUAUGGUUAUAUUAACUUAUGUCAUCAAUUGCAAGGUAGAAAACAGAAAGAGAGUGCCCAUAUUAGAUCAUAUCAAAGCUUUAGCUUAAAUGCACAUCACUGUUUAGGAUACAGUUUUAAAAUGCUAUUCUCUGGACUUGACUGUAUUUCUGUUAAGCAAGCUCUUUUUGUUUUAAUGUGGCUAGUAGGGAAUUAAAAUUUGCUGCACAUGAUGACAUGAACGGUUUGAAUAAUGAGCUAUGAAGAAAUGUACUGAAAUCUAUAGUGAUAUUAGUGUCUAGAACAUUUUUAGACUUUUGAUGGAAAGCAUACAAUACUCAAACAAAAUUCAAAGGCCUACACGUUCAAAAGUGGCUUCUAAUUUUGGUCUUAAGCAGAACCAUAGCAUGGGCAGUGCCAGCACUCAGUGUCCCUGCACCACCUCGGGUGCCAAACUAGCAUACUUGGGGCAAUACAAAAGUAGCUGCUGCUGGCAGCCAUACAAUCACAAUUGCAAUCACAGCAGCAACCAGAAGUUGCCUGUGCUCUUCUGCACUGGGUGCCUGGCUGCAUCCCUCCACUGCUCAUCUUCAGUAUGUGGGUUCUCGACAAUCUAGCGCUUCUGUAUUGUUUCUCAGAUGUGCUAAACAUGUGCAGCUCCCCUAACUACAGUUGGUGCUAAUGGUUCUUAAACCUCCCAAAAUCAAGGUGCACUUUUGUAGUCCUUGCUUGGGCUGCUCCAUAAAAGUGGAAACCACAUGCAAGUAUCCUGCUGGAUAUUCUCCCAAGGAUGUGGGAAUUCACAAUGAUGCUAGUAACUUAUGGUCCCCUGUGUCCAAUAACCAAUUGUUGCAACCUAGAGUAGGCAUUAAAUCUUUGCCAAAACUGGAAUAGUGAUUAAGGCAGCUCUUCAUCUAAGAAAAGCUUCUGCAGAAUUUGCCCAGACUUCCAAGAAAUGAGAAACACUGACACUUGGUAACUAAUCCAACAGAGAAAUCAUUACAAGAAUCAUUUCAAAUUGGAGGUCAAAUGUGUCACUAAUUCAAGGUCCUGAUAGAAUUAAUUGGAAUGAGGUUUAUCCAGUUGUAAUGGAUUUUAAAUUGGCAGAAACUGCCAUUUAGCAAUGAUAAUAGAAAGUGUCUUGAGUUAUUUUGUUUUUAGAAUAUGAGCUAUGUUGGUGUUUAACUUGUUCAUGUUUUAAUCUACCAUGCAAUUCAUGUUGGAAACAAUGCAAUGUUUGUUUUAUGAACAGGACAGUUUCUUGAGAAAUGCAUUCUUUGUGUCCACAACUGGUUUUAUCAUCAGAGUAUGGUGUACAAGUGAACAAACCUUAUUGAGCUUCCAUACACUGUGAAAUCAUAACUUGCACAGAUAAGUACAUUGAGCAAACCAAUUGACACCAAUGGUGUGAGCAGUGUAAAUAGAAGUUAUGCAACCAGGUCCUUGGAAGUUAGGGAACAGUGCUCCUUGCAAUACCCAGAAGAAAGAAGGGAAAUCAACCAUUAAUGGUAAUUGAUGGCAUAUAAAAAAGAUUAAAAUAGCAAUAUAGCAAAGAAGCAUUCAUGCUGGAGACAAUGCUCCCACUUUUCCAUCUUCUGUUGUCAUUGUGAGAUUUCAAAGUACUGAGAUCCUAGCAACAGACUCUUCAUCCAUUUGGGGCAGUCCUGGGUGAUAGUCUUCCAUGAGUUGAUGUUGAUGUUGCAUUUUUUUCAAGUUGGCCUUGAGGAUGUCUUUGAAGCACUUUCUCUGCCCUCCUCUUGAGCAUAUACCUUGACUGAGCUGGGUGUCCAGAGUCAGAUAUCCAGCUGACUUAGCUAGCCCAGCAACAUUGGUAUUGGAUGAUCAUUGCUUCAAUGCUCAUGAUGUUUGCUUGCGAGAGGAUGCUAAUGUUGGUGCAUCUGUCUUCCCACUGGAUUUGAAGGAUCUUCUGCAGGCAGCAUUGAUGGUACUUCUCCAAUGAUUUGAGAUGUCUCCUGUAUGUUCUCCAUGUCUCAUCUGUACAGUUAGGCAGGGAUCAGGACUGCUUGAUAAACCAUGAAUUUGGUUUUGAAUCUGAUGUUGCAAUCUUCAAACACCCAUUUCCUCAGGUGUCUGAAGGCUACACUUGCACAGUUGAGGCAAUGUUGGAUUUUUUCAUUGAUGUCAUCCUUCUGUGAGAGAUGGCUUCUGAGGUAUAGGAAAUACCCAGUAUUCCCCAGGGUCUCACCAUAAAUCUGAAUUGCUGGAGCUGGGGACUGCUCGUUAAGAGCUUGUUGUUGGGGAACCUUAGUCUUCUGAAUGUUAAGCAUCAGUCCCAUUUUUGUAUGCCUCAGCAAAGACGUCAACAAUUGCCUCAAGAUCUACUUCUGAGUGAACACAACUACAGCAUCACCAGCUCAAUGACUGAGGUCAGGGUAGUCUUGGCUUUGACCCGGAGUUGGCUGAGAUUAAACAGUUUACCAUCCACUUAGUAGUUUAGCUCCACUCCAACUGGAAGCCGGGUGGUCAGAUGUAGCAUUGCAGUAAGGAAUAUUGAGAUGAGUGGUGGAGCGAUAAUGCAGCCUUGCUUAAUUCCAGUCUUAAAGUCAAGGGGAUCUUGAUUCUGUCAGCUGAGAAGUACUGUGGACAAUUGGUCUGAGGUACAAAUGUCCACUGAAAUUCAUCAUUAUUCUUUGUCUGCACCAUGAUGAUACGUGAGCAGUAGUUCUCAGUAAUAAAGGUAACCUGCGAGUGUUAGGAUAGGUGCUAGUCAUAUUACUAGAAGAAUGUCUGGAAGGCACUUAGUGUGAUGGUGGCAUUAUAUGAAUUGAACAGAACAGAACAGCAUAUAAAGACAUUAAAUAUGGCUGAAAGCAUGUGUCAAAAAUCAAAAGACAGAAAAAGACUACUACAAACUGUAAGAAAACUUGUGUUCGUGUCAGCUAAAUUCAUAGGCCCAGAUCCUAUUCCACCUCUAAGAUAUGUAAGUAGCAUUUCGAUUCCUUUUAGGUAUGUUUGUCACUAAACCUAGUUACAUUCCACCCGAGAUGCCUGCUGGAAUUUUACUGAAACUCUUAGAUUUCUUACUUUUCUCCAUCUUGAUCUAGAAAAGUUCCUAAGUGACUAGAUUCAAGCUACUCUGAAUUUAUAGAAACAAUUCAGAGCACCCAUAUAGGCAUCUAACUCCUUCUCAACUCCUGAGUACAGUUCUGCCUGCGAAAAUGUACAGACUCCGUGAACAUCCUCAAAUCUGUAGUUUGAGAAAAAGCUUGUGCAGCAGCUAUAUUUGGCAACAGUAGCAGGAGGAGCUUUCACCAAAAAUCCUUAUUAAGCAACUUGCCCAGAAAAUAUGACACCUAAUGAAUUCUACCUCUUCCUGAGGAGGCUUAAACCUACAUCUCCCUCUUCCCAGGAAAAUGCCUUGACCACCAGACUACCAGGUAUGUAGCACUGAGGGCAUUUUCCAUCUGUCUAGUUGAAGGUGGACCGUUGGGUAACGAAGAAUACAAGAUACAUGGGGCUAUAAAAGUAAGGAAGAGAGACCAUGGUACUGCCCCGGGAGGUAGAGAACCCUGGAUUCUGGCUCCUGCACUCAGCACCUGAUAGUGUUUCUGAAUUUUAUCUAAUGACGUAUCCAAUAUUGGAAGCAGGAGGGGUUGAAGAAUUCUUUUAGCCUAACAUAGCUCAUAGCCUGAUAGGACACUUGCCUGGGAAAUGGGAAGCUAUAACCUGCCCUAAGAAAGCAGAGUGUGUAUGAGGGCAAAUUGGGGUAGUUAUUUGUAAUAAUGAGUCAUGACCCAUAGGUCCUUUUCGGAAUUGUUGCAUUCCAAAACUGUCUUUGAUCCUGGAUUCUUGGUUCUCACUUUGUACCGGGGCAAUAGGCCAAGGCAUUUUAUUGGACUAUUACCCUUUAACCAAUAAGUGGGGUCCGUCAGGCUUAUCUGGUGCUGGAGAAGAAAGACUUGAUUUUGCAGCUGGCUACUGCCCAAUUGCAAAACAAACCUCACUGUAGCUGAAGUUAAAAGAAACUAGAGGCGGUUAUGCAGUCAUUAAGCUGACGGUAAAUUGAGCUGAGGAGGCAAUGCAGAGUUAGUUAGCCUAACUGCUUACUGACUUAAAUAACUAAAAUUUUUAUCAAGAUGUCAUGGCAGCAGCUAGGGCAGGGUUGUACCUUAGGUACCACAUGAUGCAAAAUUAAAUGCCUUGAGAAAUCCAGGUAUGCUAUUCAGCAGUUGCCCAUAUUGACCAGAACUAUACUUUUUUUUUUUUAAGUAAAUAUUUUUUUACAAGUCUACUUUCCUUAAAGUCACAUUCACUGCCAUUUUAACCUGUGAUUCUUGUGAUAGAGUAAUAAAUUAAAUAUUACAUUAUUUAUUGAGAUUUGACUUCAGUCUAGCUAGUCUAUAGGCUCCUGGGUCAUUCCCUUUUUAACCGUUGUACAUAUUGGAAUUACAUUGACUAUUCUUUGGUCCUUUGGAUAUUCUCCAGUUUUUUGAGAUUUAUAAAAAAUUAAUAUACAUUGUAUAGAAAUUUCCUCUGACAUUUCCUUGAUCUAAGUUACCUGGGUCUGCUGAUUAGCUGGGUUACCUGACCCUGCUUCACAAAUACCUUUAUUAUAGGUGGACAAGGUUCUUUGGGUGAAUCUGAUAUCUUUUAUUAGACCAAAUUAAGUAGUUGGAAAAAAAAAAGCAAGAAACCCUUUGUCAAGCUGAGGAAGUUACAGCAGUUGGUGUGUGCUCUUCCUGGAUGGAAUGAAAAGUAAAGAAGCCAGAGGCUGGGCUGGUAUGCAUACAAGAUAGGUAGUCAGUGAAGAUGUAGAUUGAGGAGUCAGUGGGUAAGAGACAGGCUGGGUGGGAAGGAGAGAAGGGGGCUGAAUAGUGGAGAGGUACCUGGGAAGUCAGAUGUCAGGCAGGUUAUAAUGUAUCAUAAAUCCAAUAUCUAUAUUUAGUCCAUGCUUUUUAGUAUCCAGGAGGUUGAUGAAGUGGAGUUCCUAGGCUCAUCUCUGGGAAGUGUUUUUAAGUUUCCUUUGAGGAUUAGAACUGAGAGAUUGGAGAAAGAGUGGUUUUCUUGUGAGAAAUGUGCCCCCACUGGUAAUUGGGUAUUCUUGUCUUUGAUCAAUAUCCAGUGUGCGUUCAUUUUGGUGCAGAGUUGCUGUUUGGUCUCUCCUAUGUAUUUUCCAUCAGGGCAUUUGGUGCAUUGGAUGAGAUAUAGCACAUUUCUGGAGGUGCAGCUCUAAGGUCCGGGAAUGCUGAUGUCUCUGUUGUGGGGUGUAGUAAUAGCGGGGGUGGUAGAGAUGUCUUGGCAGGUUUUGCAUUUCUUGUCAUGGCAUGGUCUGGAUCCAUUUGGUGUGUUCUGGGCCUGAUGAAGUUUGCUUCUGGUGAUGAGGUUAACGAGGUUCGGUGCUUAUUUGAAGGCUAAGAUGGGUGGCUCUGGGAAGAUCUCUUUAAGAGUAGGGUCUCUUUCUAGUAUGGGUUGCAAUUGUUUGAAAAUGUUCUGUAUGGAUUGAAGGGAGGGGUGAUAUAUCAUAACCAGAGGUGUGCGAUUUGUGAGGGAGGGUUCUUCUGUACUGCAGGAGUUCUUCACAUGGUAUCUGGGUGGCUCUUUCAAACAUGUGGUCUAUCUCUCUGGAGGAGUGUCCUUGUUGGGUGAAAGCCUUUUUAAGAUUGGUGAGGUGGCAAUCCCAGGUGUUCUCUUCAGUGCAAAUUCAGUGGUAUCUGAGGGCUUGGCUGUAUAUCACAGCUUUUUUGGUGUGUUUAGGGUGAUUGCUGGUUCUGUGCAGAUAUGUAUGUUGCUCUGUGGGUUUCUUGUAUAACGUGGUCUGUAUUUUAUCAUUCUGGAUACUGAUCAUCAUGUCUAAGGAGGAGACAUUGGUGCUGGAGUAUUCAAGAGAUAGUCGGAUGGAGGGAUGGUGCUUGUUGAAUUUCUGAUGGAACUCAAUCAGAGAUUGCAGGUUUUCAGUCCAAAUGAUGAAGAUGUCAUCGAUAUAUCUUAAAUAUAGCAAGGGUUUGAUGGUGCAGUUCUUGAGGAAGUCUUUGUCCACGUGGCUCCUAAAAAGGUUGCCAUACUGUGAGGCCAUUUUAGUACCCAUAGCUGUUCCCAUCGUCUGGAGGAAGUGUUGAUUAUUAAAAGUGAAAUUGUUGUGUGUGAGGAUGAAGUGUAUAAGGUCAGUAAUAUCUUUGGGUCUGUACUCUGAGUUCUAAUCUUGUUCCUAUAGAUAUGUAUGGCAGGCUUGGAUGCCAUCCUGGUGUGGGAUGGUGGUAUAUAGCCUGGUAAUGUCCAUGGUGGUCAGGAGGGCAUUGCUGGGAAGAUGGUCUAUGUUUUUAAGUUUCUGUAGAAAGUCUUUGGUGUCUUGGACCAAACUUGCUCUGUGGGUGAUAAGCGGUUUUAGGAUGGAUUCAACAAAACCUGAUAUUUCCUCAGUUAGGGUCCCAUGGUUGGCUAUUAUAGGUCUGCCAGAGUUCCCUUGUUUGUGGAUUUUAGGGAGCAUGUAAAAAGUCCCCGGGUUGGGUAGAGGGGGGAUCAAGGUCUGUAGUUUUUCUUGUAGUCCUGAUGGAAAUGAUUUGAUGGUAUUGUUGAGUUUUGUGGUGAAAAGGGGAGUAGGAUCUUCUUGUAGUUCUUUGUAGUAGGUGGUGUCAGAGAGCUGUCUAUUGGCUUCCUGUAUGUAGUCUUCACGGUUUAGGAUGACUAUGGCUUCUCCUUUAUCUGCUGGUUUUAUUACUAUUUGGUGGUUAAAUCUUAGACAUUUAUUAUAGGUGGUGAGCCUUGUAUUCCAUGUACAACAUAAUACAGAAAGGAAGUAUUCUGCUGUUUUGUUCCAGAUACAGAACAUAAAUGUCUAUUAAAUAACUCCUGCCUUUUCUGCAUAAUUUCUUAGGAUUUUACUAUUUGUAUUUAACAGUGGACUUGUGCCUAGCCUAGAGUUCCUAUGGUUUUUAAUGUUUUUAAAAUGCUUUUGUAUCAGCUUAACCCUGUUCAGCAUUCAUAUUUCUUUGCUUCUUCGAGUGCCCCUUACAACUGCCUACACUUAAAGAAUUGUAAUUUCUAUUCAUUCUAAUAAUACUGCGUAUUUCCAUUUUUCUAUAUGUUGGAUUUAUUGUGUUGUUCCUGCUUCUUCUUCUAAUCAAGAUGUUCUGGACCAGCCUUACUUUUUUCAUGUAUAUGGAUUUUUAGUUUUUUGUGAAUCGGGGUUUUCGGGAUUUUCGUGUCAUUGAAUAAAACUCACUUUUUCGUUAAUACUUCUCACAUUAAAUUUAAUACUUCUAGUCAGUAAUACUGACAACUGAUUUAAGCUUUCAGAAACUGGUCAUUUUUAAAGUUCUAAAAAUAAAAACAAUUAAAAAGUAAAUGUAAUGACAUCCUAAUCACUAAUACCCAGGCAGCUGCUAACUUUCAGGUCACUGAUUACAGGUGACCCUUGCCAUUUGUGGGGGAUAUGUUCUUGAGAUCCCUGCGAAUGGCAAAAUCCACGAAUACGGCACUACGUUCAUGAACAUCAUGAAUGCAGUGCCCCUGGUGGCUGGGGGGUGCAGGGGAGGGAGAGUGCAGCUGUGCUGGUGACGGCAAGAGCCCAGAGGUGACGGCAGGAGUCCAGCAGCGGCAAGCGUGGAGCUCCUGUAAGUGUAUUUAAGAUGCGUGUAUUUAAGAUUUCAGUACUUGUGAAUAUUUGAAACUGCGAAUGCUGAACCUGUAAAUAGCAAAGGUUUCCUAUAUUUGUGUUUUACCCAUAUUAGUACAGGUUUUUCUGUGUUAAGAAUUAUAAUUAUUUUAGAAACUGUAGGUAAAUAAGUACUUGCUACAUGAGAUGUUCAGCAACUCUCAACAGGUAGAUGUUACCCAUAUAAACAAUUUUAAUUCCUGCUACCCAUUACAAAUAGAUACUUAGUCACGAAUCAUUAAGCUUUAUACAUAUUUUGUCUUUUUGGGCUCUGAUUCUGCAAGUGUGCUCAAAUGAUGUGGAGAAGCUUGCAAGAUUGAAGUCAGUAAAUUCUUUGGAAAAGGACCUAGCUACAAAUGGACCUGGCACAGUGCGGUGUGGUACAAACAGUAAAUAAUGUUUAAAGGAUCUCUGAGGAUGUGACCACACUGCCUGUGCAGCACUCUCAAAAGUGCUGCUGAAAACUAAGUUUCAGUUACUUGCUCCUGCACCGCAUGCCUCAAACCCAGAACAGUGACAAUAAGGACUCUCCAGGGACAAGCCUUUGCUGCUCAACAGAGUAGAUCUUGGAACAGCAGCAGGUGCCACCUUUACAGCCCCAGUUCCAGCUGCAGACCAUGUAAGUUGUGUGAAAGCUUUUGGUGAAAGCCUUUGAAUUUGGCUUGGAAUGUGUAAACUGCAGUAAAACAAAUGGAAAAUUCUGAAUGGAUCAGUCUAGUAUAAAGUGACAGGCUUAAAUGAAAAUUAGUGAUGUUGAGAGAAUUCAUCAGAGUUUAGAGAGGCAUCCCAACCAACACAUCAAUUUUUAUAGAAACAUACCACAGCACCCAAUACUAAACUUGUAAUGUUUGGGUCAGCAUUUAAAGGAAAGCAACACUAAAACAACUUCAUUUGGCACCUGGAAUUUCUUUGGGUCUAACCCAGCCUGAACCAGAGUACUACUGUUUAUGAAACAGCAGCCUGAGGCUAUUGAAUUGCUGGUAGAAAUUCACAAACUGUCAUAAAAUGGAAUUAACAAAGUAACCAAUGUUCUACUGCAGGAAUGAGGAAAUAAGAUUGUUGGCUACCAAAGGUAUCAGUGUUAUUGGUAAUAGAAAAAAAAAACCUAAAUGCAUUUUCUUUUUAUAUCAGUCUUUUUUGUUUGUUUUGCUCAUUGGAAAAGUGUUUCCUAAAGUCUUUAAAAUAAUAAGAGAAGGGCUCCAAUUACUUGGUUGUCCACGUUCCACCACAAAUUAAGAUAAAAAUAACUAAAGUAGUUUUAACUGAACAACAGGAUAAAUUAGCUUACAUGGGACUCCACAUUAUUGUGAUGAGCCUGCAUCCAGGACUUGGGCUAGCUCAGGUUACCUCAGUGUUCAGUGGGUACCUUCUACCAGUAUGAUUUUUAUUACUAGUCAUGUAGGAUGAUGUGUUAAAUAGGCCAACCCCUUUGUAUAGUAUGACCACAACAUAAAAGAAAUUUUGCUUUAAUGCUGACCCUUUCCCUUCCCCACAUUUAGAAAUGCUAGAAAGCAACAAUGUUCCUUCCCAGAAAUCAGAAGCACAAAGGCUAGGUACAGACAGUCAAAAAGCCUGAGGCUGAAUUGAUUCAGUCUUUGCAAGUUAGUCUACAAUGCAGAGAUUAAAUUGAAACAGAAGUGAACAGACAGCAAAUGCAGCCACAUGCCUGCAGUGGCUCAGGCCAGAAGCCAGGGGGAGGUAGAGCAUGACUCUCUGGCUAUGUGUUUACUUCCUCUUUCUGCUGCCCCUGAGGUCUCUGAGGUUUGCAGGCCAGAACAACAGCAUUAGAACUCUGCAGAGUUGUUCAUCACUUCCUCUUCCUGCUUCCAGGUGCCUCUGGGAUUUGUAGUCCACAGUUGCAGCCAGCAGUAAGUUUGAGUGGGGGAAGGGGUGUUUAAUGCCCCCUUCCUGGCCCCAGACCCCAGCUGGGGUUUGCCUGUAGGGGGAGGGGGAAGUACUCCAACUAUAGACUGGGUUCCAUCCCCAGUUCAUCUUGCCCCCUGCCCCAUGUCAGCCAGCCCUCACUGCUCGAGCAGACAGCCCAGCCCAGGGUGGGAAAGCAUGCUAGAUGCUGCAGGACUGUGAUUUAACUUGAACCAGGAAGGGGUCUGGGACAGAAGUUUCAUAAACCGGUUUGGCCCAAAUCAGUUAAGUCUGAUACUACAUUCAACCAGGUUUAUCUUAAACCAGUUUCAGUCAUUUUGAAACCAGUUUAUGCACACUAAACUUCUGUUCUGUUACAGGUUUAAAUCAAUUUCUGAUUGCUUAAACCUGUUUAUGUACAACUUCUGUCCCUAAUAGUUUAUCCUCUACUGAUUACCAUAAGUUCCUUAUCCAAACUGGACGUUUCUGUCUUGUACACAGUAAAGCAAUCCCACUAAAGCAAAACCCAUUUUUUUGUUUAAUGAGUUUUUAUUCUAUUUAUUUUUUUUAAUAUGGGCAAAGAAGUAGGCAUUGGGUGUAAACUAUGGAUGAAUAGCAAUAGCAGUAGCAUCCAUGUACAGUCAAUGACCUGUUUUCUGGCAUGAGUGGGGAAUGGGGUGUGCCAGUAAUCUCAAAAUGCCAGUUACCUGAGGCACAGCAGUUUCUGGCCAGAUGCGGAGCAGAGGGGGUGGGGGGUGACAGUGGCCACACAAGGAGCGGCAGCAGCGCAGGGUGGUGGGUGGUGGCAGCAGUCACUGUGUGCGAGCUUUCCCUGCUCCUCUCCCCUCCAUCUGGCCAGCCGGAUGGCCGGAAAUUCCAGUUAAUAGAAAUGCUGGUUAGUAAAAUGCUGGAUAACAGGGCUUUUACUGUAUUGACGUAUUAUUAAAAGAGAGACCACUCUAAAACAGAAAUGUAAUCAUUUGGUAAGUGUUCAGUAUUUUAGAAAUGUCAUCUCUUCUUCACAUAAUGUUCUUUAUUGUCAGGUUUUUUUACCAGCAACCAAACCACUUCACUUCCCCUCCCUCACCCCACUCCCCAACAACCUUACUGUGUCAUUGCAGUGAUGUGCCUUGACCUUACUGUGAAUUAUGUUGUUUCAGGGGUGAAGGUGUUGCAGUCCAAUGAUGGUCAAGCCAAAGAAAAUCAAAAUGUGGUUUGUUAAGAAAUAACUUUUCAAAACCCAAAAGGGGCUUAUUUGGUCAAUAAAACUUUCCUCUCUACCACCUUUGGACACAGCUUGCACACAUUUCCAUUGUUCUGUGUUAAUAAUACAUAGGCAUGUUAUAUAAUAAAGAAUGUGUUGAAUUGAUUGUUCCUAAUCCAGGAAUUGCAAGAUGAGCAUGACCUGAGAAGCAGGUCAGACUAGAUCAUCCCACAGGGCUCUUCUGUACUUAAAACCUCUGAAUCUUUAUUCUCUGAACAUAGACAUACAGAAGUCAUUAUGAUUUGACCAGCUUCUAAACUUUUGUAUAGAUUUGCUCUGUACUAUUUUAACAGUUGCCAUUAUUAACCUCCUCCUUGCUGCCAUGUAUUUGCGUGUAGCUUUUCCAGUCUGUUGUUCUUUUAUGAAGCCCAGUGUAAAAGUUAGAUCAUUAUUAUUGAUGAUACAGAUGUUAGUUAUUUAAAUAAAGGUCAGACAACAUCUUUGUAAUCUUUGUUAUGUGAGACUGGGCACCUAAGACCAUAUUUGAGCCCCUGAAUAAAUGUCACCUGAUUUUUCAGAGUUGAUGAACACUUUUGCCUCCAACUGAUUUCAGUGAUAGUACAGAAGAGACUCAAGAAGAGAGCUGUGACCCCAAAUCCAGCCCCAGACUUGGGGGAAUCAGUGGAGCUGGAGCUGUGAUUCUCGAACAGGGUGCUGUGAACCAUCAAAGGUUGCCACGAUCCCCAGCCUCUGUGAUGUGAGAGGAGGUACGUCCAAGAGCGACUUCCACUGCCUUUAGAUACUCCAGUCUACAAGUUCCAAAUUGGAGACGAAGUUUUGGUCCGAACGUGGAAGGACGAGCCUCUUCAACCCAAGUGGAAGGGACCGUAUCCCGUAAUCCUCGCCACUCAUGCAGCGGUAAAGGUCCAGGGGGUAAAGCCGUGGAUCCACUAUACCAGGGUAAAGGCCGCACCGGAAGUUCCUUCUGAGGGAGCAGUUGCUGAGAGUGUCGCACCGGAAGCCGACACAAACGGACAUCGUUGGACAGUGGAACCUGUGGAAGGACUUAAAUUCUUGUUUAAACGUCAGCCAUGUGGAAAGUAGUUCUUUACCUAAGUCUAGCAUUUCUAGGGUCGGAGGGAUUGUUACACCGAAAGUUUGAGAAAAACCAAAAUGUGUGGAUUUACUUGGCAAAAGAAGUGGUGAACACAACUCAUUUCUGUUUGGCUGGUGGAACGUCAGUUGAAGAUGUGUUUACCUCAUGCCUCAUAGGGGUGCCCACUCCAUUAGAAACGCUCAAAAGUCAGACUUGGCUAAAAAACUUCGACCUUUCCGGGCUUAAUCUCUGGAAUACGGCCUAUGUGUGGGGACCUAUUACUCAGAAAAGAAACGUUAGUACCUUUUCAAUAGAUUUGCUGGCCGUAGCCUCACCUAGUAACACCAGUUGUGCUCAAUUUGUAAAUUGUACCACAGCUUUGGGCACUCAAGUCCCUGGAGGAGCAGUGGUAGGGGCCAUGCUCACCCUCUCAGGAAGAGAUGGGGUCAGGGAAGCAGCUAGUAGUGGAAAAAGCAGGGCAAAGCAGGGUUCUGUCCCCACCAUCCUCACUGGGUACCAGCCUCUGCACCAGUGGCCACUGUCACCUCUUUUGCCUCCUUCAGGGAUGGCUGCCUUCCUCAGGUGUCUAAUGCCCUAACCGCAGGUUCCUCAAUCUGCAACCCCUGCCUCCCCAAGCAGCAUAUGCUGUCACCAUGCACCAGGCCUCACCAUGCUCUCCAGAGUGCCCUUAGCACCCUCUGAGAUUCUUUUAAGGGUGCAUGCAGGUAAACACUAUAAGAAAUUAAUUCAUCCUUAAAUGGACUGUGACAAAAUUCCAAAAAGUUAUGGAUGGGUACCUCUAAAAAGGGUUAAGAAUCAUUGAGCAGAUGAAAUUUCUUUGACCAUUGAUUCUGGCUGGAACAAGGGCUUUGUUUGAUCACUAUCUGAUACGUGUCUGCAGCCGUUGUGGCUCUGCCCUUCUUGCCUGCCUGUUGUUUUUUUUGUUUUUUGUUUUUUCUCCGUGUUUUAUUAGUCUUCCAUCUCUGUUGGACCAUCAAACCCUAUGGUAAACCUGCCACUUCUUUCGACAAUGAGGGCUAUAUUCUUAAUUAAAUUCAGUCCUUGGAGAUAGUGAUCCUCCUUGUACACAGUUUUCUAUUCAAACAAAGCCAGACUGCUGCAGUAUAUGUAUAAGCUUUAAUACUUAGGAAGUAUACAAAGCCAUAGACAUAACUGGGCUUUGGCUAUGAAACAGGAAAUGCUGGAAAUAUGUUGUCCUUUGAUAAGCAUUAGCUAUUAAGUAAACAUGCAGUUCACUGUCCAUUUACUACUUUUAUAAUUAUUUCUACUUUGUUCAUGUAAUUUUCUUUGGAUAACCAAGACCUAUUUUAGGACUGGAAUGGACUGCUAUCAUCCGUUACUAUGAUCCCUUCAUAGCGCUGACCAUAGAAUUCAAUAGAAUUAUUCUGUUACUUAACUGAAUUUACUGAAUUAUUCUUCUAUGUAGUAGUACUUGUUACUAGUAUUAGUAAUAGUUACAAUAAUUUAAGUUUUAGUGAUGGAAGUGCACUAAAGAUUUCCUUCAGUGUAAAUAGUCGCAUUUUCUCUCUGAUAAUAUUGUACAUAUGAAGUCCUUCAAUGACACUAAGCAAAACCCAAGCAGAAAUGGGUAAAAUAAUAUUGAGAAGACAUGAAUUCCAUAUGCACUUGAGUUAGCCAAUCUUAAAAUAUAUAACAAGCUGUUACCACUAGGUGUCUCCUUUUACUUCAAAAUUUGAAAGUUAGCAUAAUCCACUUCAAUAUAGAGAGAAAUCUGAAUUAAACUGCAAUGCAUUUUCUAAGCAAAACCUGAAUUCUCCCACAGCUGAGGAUGGCCUCAAAGGCACAGAAAUAAUUUGUUCCUCAAUCCUUUGUAAUCCAAUAGCUGUUUAAUAUCCUCCCCCCUCCCCGCUUGGUAUAGCCAGCUGCACAAAUCUAUCAAAACUUGUGGAUAUUUAUUUCAACAUAUGACAAUAAACAUUUAACCACCGUGUAUGGAACAUGAAGGCUAAAAUUUUCAAAACUGCUGAAAUACUUGACUGAAUCCUGUUGUCAAAAAUUACAUAGGCAUGUAGGCCCAGGUAUUUAGGCAGCUAACUUCCAUUAGCCUCAUUAUUCAGUUAAACCAGAUUUGUGCUCUUUUAAAGUCACUUUAAAAGAAUAUACUGGAAUAUACUGAUAUAUUUGGCAUGAUGUCUUAUAUUUCCUAAAGAACCUAAGUGGUACUGAAAAUCUGUAGUUAGUCUCUUCACUUUUAAAAUACUUUUAUGCCUACAAACAUAAAUAGUCUGCUAGAAUCACAAAAAAGCAGGAAUUGAAAGGGCCUCCUGAGGUCAUCUAGUCCCAUCCUUGUCUUGCUCAGGAUAGAGAGACUCGUGUCUAAGUCAUCCCAGCCAAGUAUUUGUCUAAUUUGCAACCUAGUGGGAUUUUUAGAAAUAUUUAGGUGACCUAAUACCACAAUAUCUUUAAAAACUGGCCUCAAUAGCCUAAAACACUUCUUAAAAUGAGACAUAGGCUAAAAGCCAUGUAUGAAAAUUUUCCCCAUUCUACCAAUGUAUGUCAAUGAAAAAAUGCAGUCCCCUAACGUAUUGACAAAUUUAAAUAGUAUGACCCCUGAUUCACAAAGAUAUUUAGGCCUCUAAGUAGGAGCUAGGCUCUUUGAUACCUUUGUAAAUCUUGGCUUAUAUUCUCACAUCAAAUUUUCUUGAAUAAAUAUACACUUGAGUUGUGUAAGUCUUCGUGUUGCUAGAGGCUAUAAUGUAAAUCCUAUGAAGCAAAAUGAGAUAUUUUAAAACAAUCAUUUAGCUUCCAUAUAUAUUAUAUUUAAUAUUAUAUAUGUGAAAGCUUUAAUAAUAUAUAUUAAAAUAUAUCCAUUUUACAUAUAUGCCACUAAUAUAUACUUAAUAGAUACCUAUUAUAUAUAUAUAUACAUACAUAUAUAUAUAUAUAUAUAUAUAUAUAUAUAUAUAUAUAUAUAUAUGUCAUCUCAACAUUGUUAUGCAGAGUUUUCGUAAGACAAAGAUAUUAAAAUAGUAUAAGUAUGUAUUCCUAAUUGGAUUAUUCUUCAAUUGUUAAAAUUAUAAUGUUACAUAACCUGGUGCCCACUAGUUUUGGACUCCUUUUAUCUACAUGCAUCAGGUCUGUAUAGUCCAGUUACCCCAAAAAGCCAGAAAACCAGUCUCCAUGGCCAAAUAAGUCACUUUUAUGUCAGUGAAACUGAACAGACAGCUAGGCUUUCCUGGUGAAUAUGUCCAUAAAUAUGAAGUCCUAUUUUAAAGUUCACAAAGAAUCCAGCAUGGACCUCCAGUUCUCAGCAACGACUGGCCAGCCAUGUGCCCUCCAAGUAAGGCCUCACAUUGCUAAAACUAUUUUUUAAAAGUAUAUUACAUACUUAUUUAUGUACAUAAAUAAAAGUAUUUAUUUUUAAAGUAUAUUACAUACUAAUUACACAUUUUAUUUGCGCAUUGACACGUGAAAAUUACACUGCAAUUUGAAAGGAGACAGAUUUACUCCAUGUAAGCUGCUCUGCAGCAGUUGCCUGUGUGCCUACCCUUACUCCUCAAUAUGUGAAAGCUGAACCCUGGUUUCAUGUAAGGGAUAUAGAACCUCAAUUUAGCUUCUAUUUACUGUGAAAUGAGAGUGAGUAGGUGAGCCAUUACUGCAGAGUAGCUGACGCAUGGUAAAUUCUCACUCCCUUUUAAGUAAAUGCACUGUGUUCAUUUGUCUGUGCUCUGUGUGAGGUUCUAAUGAUCACUUUCAGUGUAUUUGAAGGGUUUAAAUAGUGGUGAUGAGAAAUAAUUAGCAAAGUAAUGGGACUAAAUUAUGAAAUUUAGAAUAUAAUUGGUUGGGUAUGAAUUACAAUAGCAUAUUAGAAAAAAUAAUCUGCCUGUGAGGUCUGUUUGAUUUUAGAGAGUGGAAGGGAAGUGAUGGAAGUCACAUUACUUAGGAAUAUAUAAGUGAUUGAACAAAGUAUUAAAUAAUACACAGUACAGAACAACCCUGCACUGGCUAAGGGAAGCUCUAGAGAUCUAUUUCCUCCCUCUAAUUUCUAUGAUUCUUUUUACAUUAUACUUUAAUCAGUACUUUUCAUAACUGUCAUAUGAACUUGCUAACUCACUAGCGUACUCCUCUAAUAUGUCAUAUAUUGUAAACAAAUCAAUCAAUUUUGCCAUGUUAUAUUUAUUUUCAUAAUGGUUAGUACGUUUAGUGUCCAUUAUCCUUUCAAAACAAAUUAGAGAAUUAAAAUAGUGAGAACAAAA